Molecule: ribosomal RNA, 307 nt
Filed under: Scalpellum cf. stearnsi 2 SML-2013
Lineage: Eukaryota; Metazoa; Arthropoda; Thecostraca; Scalpellidae
Description: Scalpellum cf. stearnsii 2 SML-2013 partial 12S ribosomal RNA
Source: RNAcentral
AACGGAUUUGGCGGCAAAAUGACCAUUUAGAGGAACCUGCCCUUAAAACGAUACUCCACGAAUAUCUUACUUUUAUUAGUAAUCAGUUUGUAUACCGCUGUUGAUAGUUAGUUUUUUUAAAAAUCUUUCUUAAAUGAUUUAUUCAUUGACUUCAAGUAAAGGUGCAGUUUAUAUAAAAGGCAGAGGUGGGUUACAAUUAAUAGAUUAAAUGAUGGAUUAAAGAAUGAAAUUUUUUUAGGAAAUUGGAUUUAGAUGUAAAUUUUUAAGAGUUUGAUAAGAGUACUAUUUUGUGUACACACCGCCCGUC